AUGAACGCUGACAGAAUGCUUAACACAUGCAAGUCCACUUGAACUUCGGUUUGGGUGGCGGACGGGUGAGUAACGCGUAAAGAACUUGCCUCACAGCUAGGGACAACAUUUGGAAACGAAUGCUAAUACCUGAUAUUAUGAUUAUAUGGCAUCGUAUAAUUAUGAAAGCUAUAUGCGCUGUGAGAGAGCUUUGCGUCCCAUUAGCUAGUUGGAGAGGUAACAGCUCACCAAGGCGAUGAUGGGUAGCCGGCCUGAGAGGGUGAUCGGCCACAAGGGGACUGAGACACGGCCCUUACUCCUACGGGAGGCAGCAGUGGGGAAUAUUGGACAAUGGACCGAGAGUCUGAUCCAGCAAUUCUGUGUGCACGAUGAAGUUUUUCGGAAUGUAAAGUGCUUUCAGUUGGGAAGAAAAAAAUGACGGUACCAACAGAAGAAGUGACGGCUAAAUACGUG
This 453-nucleotide ribosomal RNA is filed under the name uncultured bacterium. RNAcentral describes it as "partial 16S ribosomal RNA". It matches the Rfam family "Bacterial small subunit ribosomal RNA", at positions 29 to 507 of the family's 1533-position model. The record is from RNAcentral.